This 253-nucleotide ribosomal RNA is filed under the name uncultured bacterium. RNAcentral describes it as "partial 16S ribosomal RNA". It matches the Rfam family "Bacterial small subunit ribosomal RNA", at positions 524 to 776 of the family's 1533-position model. The record is from RNAcentral.
UACGAAGGGUGCAAACGUUGCUCGGAAUUAUUGGGCGUAAAGCGCACGUAGGCGGCAUUGCAAGUCGGAUGUGAAAUCCCUCGGCUUAACCAAGGAAGUGCAUCCGAAACUGCAGUGCUUGAGUACUUAAGAGGAUCGCGGAAUUCCCGGUGUAGAGGUGAAAUUCGUAGAUAUCGGGAGGAACACCAGUGGCGAAGGCGCCGCUCUGGGCCGAGACUGACGCUGAGGAGCGAAAGCGUGGGUAGCAAACAGG